UACGUAGGGGGCGAGCGUUGUCCGGAAUCAUUGGGCGUAAAGAGCGUGUAGGCGGCUUGGCAAGUCUGACGUGAAAGCCCGCGGCUCAACCGCGGAUUGUCGUUGGAAACUGCCUCGCUAGAGUCCGGAAGAGGAGAGCGGAAUUCCUGGUGUAGCGGUGGAAUGCGCAGAUAUCAGGAAGAACACCCGUGGCGAAGGCGGCUCUCUGGGACGGUACUGACGCUGAGACGCGAAAGCGUGGGGAGCAAGCAGG
This 253-nucleotide ribosomal RNA is filed under the name uncultured bacterium. RNAcentral describes it as "partial 16S ribosomal RNA". It matches the Rfam family "Bacterial small subunit ribosomal RNA", at positions 524 to 776 of the family's 1533-position model. The record is from RNAcentral.